CCUACGGGGGGCUGCAGUGGGGAAUAUUGGACAAUGGGGGCAACCCUGAUCCAGCCAUGCCGCGUGUGUGAAGAAGGCCCUCGGGUUGUAAAGCACUUUCAGUGAGGAAGAACGCCUGGUGGUUAAUACCCAUCAGGAAAGACAUCACUCACAGAAGAAGCACCGGCUAACUCCGUGCCAGCAGCCGCGGUAAUACGGAGGGUGCGAGCGUUAAUCGGAAUUACUGGGCGUAAAGCGCGCGUAGGUGGCUUGAUAAGCCGGUUGUGAAAGCCCCGGGCUCAACCUGGGAACGGCAUCCGGAACUGUCAAGCUAGAGUGCAGGAGAGGAAGGUAGAAUUCCCGGUGUAGCGGUGAAAUGCGUAGAGAUCUGGAGGAAUACCAGUGGCGAAGGCGGCCUUCUGGACUGACACUGACACUGAGGUGCGAAAGCGUGGGUAGCAAACAGGAUUAGAUACCCUUGUAGUC
This 465-nucleotide ribosomal RNA is filed under the name Vreelandella stevensii. Its description in RNAcentral is "partial 16S ribosomal RNA". It matches the Rfam family "Bacterial small subunit ribosomal RNA", at positions 338 to 795 of the family's 1533-position model. Lineage: Bacteria; Pseudomonadati; Pseudomonadota; Gammaproteobacteria; Oceanospirillales; Halomonadaceae. The record is from RNAcentral.